GCGCCCGUAGCUCAGCCGGAUAGAGCAUCUGCCUUCUAAGCAGAGGGUCGCAGGUUCGAGUCCUGCCGGGCGCG
This 74-nucleotide transfer RNA is filed under the name Gemmatimonadales bacterium. RNAcentral describes it as "tRNA-Arg". It matches the Rfam family "tRNA". Rfam says of the family: Transfer RNA (tRNA) molecules are approximately 80 nucleotides in length. Lineage: Bacteria; Pseudomonadati; Gemmatimonadota; Gemmatimonadia; Gemmatimonadales. The record is from RNAcentral.